GACGAACGCUGGCGGCGUGCUUAACACAUGCAAGUCGAACGCUGAAGACCUGGCUUUUGUUGGGUUGGAUGAGUGGCGAACGGGUGAGUAACACGUGAGUAACCUGCCCCCUUCUUUGGGAUAACGCCCGGAAACGGGUGCUAAUACUGGAUAUUCACUGGCCUUCGCAUGGGGGUUGGUGGAAAGGUUUGUUCUGGUGGGGGAUGGGCUCGCGGCCUAUCAGCUUGUUGGUGGGGUGAUGGCCUACCAAGGCUUUGACGGGUAGCCGGCCUGAGAGGGUGACCGGUCACAUUGGGACUGAGAUACGGCCCAGACUCCUACGGGAGGCAGCAGUGGGGAAUAUUGCACAAUGGGCGAAAGCCUGAUGCAGCGACGCCGCGUGAGGGAUGGAGGCCUUCGGGUUGUAAACCUCUUUCGCUCAUGGUCAAGCCGCAACUGUGGGUUGUGGUGAGGGUAGUGGGUAAAGAAGCGCCGGCUAACUACGUGCCAGCAGCCGCGGUAAUACGUAGGGCGCGAGCGUUGUCCGGAAUUAUUGGGCGUAAAGGGCUUGUAGGCGGUUGGUCGCGUCUGCCGUGAAAUCCUCUGGCUUAACUGGGGGCGUGCGGUGGGUACGGGCUGACUUGAGUGCGGUAGGGGAGACUGGAACUCCUGGUGUAGCGGUGGAAUGCGCAGAUAUCAGGAAGAACACCGGUGGCGAAGGCGGGUCUCUGGGCCGUUACUGACGCUGAGGAGCGAAAGCGUGGGGAGCGAACAGG
Molecule: ribosomal RNA, 755 nt
Filed under: uncultured Actinomyces sp.
Lineage: Bacteria; Bacillati; Actinomycetota; Actinomycetes; Actinomycetales; Actinomycetaceae
Description: bacterial SSU rRNA
Rfam family: Bacterial small subunit ribosomal RNA
Source: RNAcentral